CAGCAGCCGCGGUAAUACAGAGGGUGCGAGCGUUAAUCGGAUUUACUGGGCGUAAAGCGUGCGUAGGCGGCUUCUUAAGUCGGAUGUGAAAUCCCUGAGCUUAACUUAGGAAUUGCAUUCGAUACUGGGAAGCUAGAGUAUGGGAGAGGAUGGUAGAAUUCCAGGUGUAGCGGUGAAAUGCGUAGAGAUCUGGAGGAAUACCGAUGGCGAAGGCAGCCAUCUGGCCUAAUACUGACGCUGAGGUACGAAAGCAUGGGGAGCAAACAGGAUUAGAUACCCGAGUAGUCCCUGUCUCUUUACA
Molecule: ribosomal RNA, 301 nt
Filed under: uncultured bacterium
Lineage: Bacteria
Description: partial 16S ribosomal RNA
Rfam family: Bacterial small subunit ribosomal RNA
Source: RNAcentral